ACACCCACGUGUGUGUUAGCCUGGGUCCCCUGCCAGGCCUUCCCGCUCCCUCUCUCGAGGCCUCAUCUGCCUCAGGGGCUGAACUGGCUGCUCCUCCCGCGGCCAUGUCCUCCUCAGAGAGGCUCCGUCAUUGCCUGCGAUCACACAGCCGAACCUUCUGUCUUCUGUGCAGUGCUGGAAGCAUUCUGUGUGCCUCCUGGAGCCACCAGAGGAAAAGCAGCCCAGCUGACACCUUGACGUUAGCCCAGUGAGAUCCA
Molecule: long non-coding RNA, 257 nt
Organism: Suricata suricatta (meerkat)
Lineage: Eukaryota; Metazoa; Chordata; Mammalia; Carnivora; Herpestidae
Exons: 3
Source: RefSeq, a predicted model, not a curated record